Corapipo altera (White-ruffed manakin) is the source of this 298-nucleotide long non-coding RNA. RefSeq lists it as uncharacterized. The record is from RefSeq and is a predicted model, not a curated record. The transcript is spliced from 3 exons. Lineage: Eukaryota; Metazoa; Chordata; Aves; Passeriformes; Pipridae.
CCCCAGCCCUGGCCGCUGCCCCCGCCGUACUGCGAGACCAUGUCGGCGGCGCCCUUGGCGGCGGCCGCCCCGUCCUGCGGCCCGGCGCUAUAGUCGCCCCCGGGGUAGCCCUGCAGGCACCCAGGAAGGUGGGGCAGAACUUUAAUCCCCUCAUUAUUUCUACGCUUGGUGGUGGAAUCAAAAAGCAAGAGCCUGAUCACGAGCAGAGGCAGGGCAGGGCAGGGCAGAAGCUCCUUCUCCCGGCGUGGCUGUGACAGCAGCUCAGCGAGACACCACGUGGGAAAGCCGGGUUCGGGAU